RNAcentral lists this ribosomal RNA (441 nucleotides) under uncultured bacterium. RNAcentral describes it as "partial 16S ribosomal RNA". It matches the Rfam family "Bacterial small subunit ribosomal RNA", at positions 338 to 795 of the family's 1533-position model. The record is from RNAcentral.
CCUACGGGUGGCAGCAGUGGGGGAUAUUGCACAAUGGGGGGAACCCUGAUGCAGCGACGCCGCGUGGGUGAAGGAGCGUUUCGGCGCGUAAAGCCCUAUCAGCAGGGAAGAAGAAGACCGGUACCGGACUAGAAAGCCCCGGCUAACUAGGUGCCAGCAGCCGCGGUAAUACGUAGGGGGCAAGCGUUAUCCGGAUUUACUGGGUGUAAAGGGGGCGCAGACGGGAGGGAAAGCCAGGGGUGAAAGCUCGGGGCUCAACCGUGGGACUGCAAUUGUAACUGCAAGGCUGGAGUGCAGGAGAGGUAGGCGGAAUUCGUGGUGUAGCGGUGAAAUGCUUAGAUAUCACGAAGAACUCCGAUGGCGAAGGCAGCUUGCUGGACUGCCACUGACGUUGAGGCUCGAAAGCGUGGGUAGCAAACAGGAUUAGAUACCCUGGUAGUC